CAGGCGUCGCAUGCUCAAGCAAGCUCCAUUGCCGAGCAGGUAAAAGGAUUCGUCUCGCCGUGGUUCUUCUCACCGUUACAUUGUUUCCUGCUAGACAGACAAUAUCACAGAUCAGAACGGUCUACUCUUUCGUUCAAGAGUCUCGUGCUCUCACCUCCUUCUCUGAUGCGCUGCAAGCCGCUAGGAAAGUCGGGGAAAGAGGCGGGUUGAUCCGAGGGAUGGGACUUGGACUUACGCUUGGAAUUGUCAACUGUUCUUGGGCAUUGGAGCUCUGGUGCGGUAGCAUUCUCGUCUCCAAAGGACACAUCGACGGAGGGAAGAUUCUGACUGCGGUGUUUUGCAUCGUCUUUGGUGGCAUGUAAGCUGCAAGCACAUCAGUCAGAGCAGAUCAUGAAGAACUUACGUUAAAUUUUUACGUACCAGGGCCCUUGGACAGACAACUCCAGAGUUGCAGGUGUUCUCGAGAGGCAGAGUAGCAGCUUACAACAUCUUCAAUAUCAUCGACCGUGCGUC
RNAcentral lists this long non-coding RNA (513 nucleotides) under Selaginella moellendorffii. RNAcentral describes it as "long non-coding RNA (SMOE_LNC002014)". The record is from RNAcentral. Lineage: Eukaryota; Viridiplantae; Streptophyta; Lycopodiopsida; Selaginellales; Selaginellaceae.